GUCGCUUUCAGUCAGUCACAAAUGUUCGUGUUAGGAUGACGUUUGAUUUUGUGUAGGAUGUAUGAAUAGGCUGACUGUUGGGUUAUGACAGUGAAUUCGAAACAAUAUUCAGAUGCAGAAAUAUUAAAGGUUAAAGAUUCGAAGACACAAAGUAACGGACGAGGAAUAUUACAACGUUUUGAAACACUGCUUGAAAGUCGGCAGGACAAUUUAUCAUUGCACCAAAAGAAAUUCGUCAAGUGCCAGGUUUUCAUCACUGAGUGAGAUGGAGGCCUAUCAAGUCUGGCGAACAAUUUGCUAAAACACUGCGUAAAAGAGUUAUUACAUCAAACGGAAUCAACAUUGUUAAUAGUCUCGUGCAUCACGGAGUGAGAUGGCAGCCUAUAUAGUCGGAAGAGUAAAGAGCAAAGUGGCCAAAAUAAAAUUGAUUGAUUCUCCAUUACCGUAUAUUGCCCAUUCUCGUCUCUGAAAAUGCUUUUCAUCCAGAAUACAACACAGAAUAAACAACGCUCUCGGGCUAUGCGGAUCAAAGUACAUGAGCAAAACGCAUGGAUUUCAACCCCCCGUCAUCAUAUAGACAAAGGCUUUCGGUCUCACCAAAAAUACUUCCUAACCUGCUUCUUGCAUAUCAAUGACUGCUAAUAAGAGCCUUCUUGAAAUGAAAGCUUCAAAGACAAAAAAACGGAUUUUUGGCAAACUGAAUACUUAUAACGAGAGCAUUUAAGCAAUAUGAUGGAAAAAUAUUUACACGAAUGAAUUACAUAUAUAUAGAAUAUAUAUAUAGCUUUUUUAUGAUGCGUUAGAAUAUAUUUAUUUUUUCAAUUUUUUUUAAAUUUGCAAAUCCUUCGUAGCGAGUAAAUAAAGAAAAGUUAGGCCUGCUGUGUAUUUCAAUACCUUUCAUCAUCUAUUGUUAACAGUGCAUGUUAUUUGCCUGAAUCAA
Styela clava is the source of this 940-nucleotide long non-coding RNA. RefSeq lists it as uncharacterized. Lineage: Eukaryota; Metazoa; Chordata; Ascidiacea; Stolidobranchia; Styelidae. The record is from RefSeq and is a predicted model, not a curated record.